CGCCUCCGCGCAGCAAAGGCCCGAAGCCCGGCAAGAAAGCCGACCGCCAGACUUGGCCCGAUGUCGAGAGGCCGACGUUCAACAAGAAGCCGAAGAAAAAGAAGNGCGUAAAACUUAACGCCUGGCGAUCAUCCGCCUCGCGCAUCACUGACGGGCUCGUCCGGGAAGCCCGUCAGGUUAAAGCGUCACGCUCGCUGAGAGUUUCACGAAUGCGCA
This 216-nucleotide unclassified non-coding RNA is filed under the name Hevea brasiliensis (rubber tree). The record is from RNAcentral. Lineage: Eukaryota; Viridiplantae; Streptophyta; Magnoliopsida; Malpighiales; Euphorbiaceae.